CUUUAGCUCAGUUGGUUAGAGCAUCUGACUGUUAAUCAGAGGGUCCCUGGUUCGAGCCCA
RNAcentral lists this transfer RNA (60 nucleotides) under Chaetoceros neogracilis. It matches the Rfam family "tRNA", at positions 6 to 61 of the family's 71-position model. Rfam says of the family: Transfer RNA (tRNA) molecules are approximately 80 nucleotides in length. Lineage: Eukaryota; Bacillariophyta; Thalassiosirophyceae; Chaetocerotales; Chaetocerotaceae. The record is from RNAcentral.